UACGUAGGAAACGAGCGUUGUCCGGAAUUACUGGGCGUAAAGCGCGUGUAGGCGGAUGAGCAAGUCUGCUGUGAAAGCUCCUGGCUUAACCGGGAGUGGUCGGUGGAAACUGCUCGUCUGGAGGACGGUAGAGGUAGGUAGAAUUCCCGGUGUAGUGGUGAAAUGCGUAGAGAUCGGGAGGAAUACCUGUGGCGAAGGCGGCCUACUGGGCCGGACCUGACGCUGAGACGCGAAGGCGUGGGGAGCGAACGGG
RNAcentral lists this ribosomal RNA (253 nucleotides) under uncultured bacterium. Its description in RNAcentral is "partial 16S ribosomal RNA". It matches the Rfam family "Bacterial small subunit ribosomal RNA", at positions 524 to 776 of the family's 1533-position model. The record is from RNAcentral.